This is a long non-coding RNA of Myotis davidii, 430 nucleotides long. RefSeq lists it as uncharacterized. The transcript is spliced from 2 exons. Lineage: Eukaryota; Metazoa; Chordata; Mammalia; Chiroptera; Vespertilionidae. The record is from RefSeq and is a predicted model, not a curated record.
UCCUCCGGGCAGGCUCGGAGCUGAUGUGGGUUCCUUCCCGUGUCCUUUCCCCAGAAGAAGGAACAACGCUGCCACCAGUUAUGCCGGGGCCCAGGGACCCCGAGCGUCCUCAGCAUCAUCCUCGGCCCUCGAAGCUCCUUGGAGAACCGACGGGCAGGACGCCAGCCCGGGAGGGAGGCCGCGCACGGGGCCCAGGGGCUUGGUGGCUGCAGGCCGCACGGUCUCCUCGGUCACCCCUCGAUCACUCCCACGUGCAGGUCCACCCAUGCUGUUGCGAAUGAUGUGAGUGCGUUCUCUUCCCCGGCCGAGUAACAUUCCACGGGGCGCGCGGCAUCUGCUCCUCCUACCGCGUCCUCGCACGCAUCCCAUCGGCACCUCAUCUCGGCUCCUGCCCCGGAGCCCCGUACGUGGGGCGCCAGCGCGCUCAUGU